RNAcentral lists this ribosomal RNA (484 nucleotides) under uncultured bacterium. RNAcentral's name for it is "partial 16S ribosomal RNA". It matches the Rfam family "Bacterial small subunit ribosomal RNA", at positions 29 to 507 of the family's 1533-position model. The record is from RNAcentral.
AUUGAACGCUGGCGGCAUGAUUUACACAUGCAAGUCGAACGGCAGCGCGGGCUUCGGCCUGGCGGCGAGUGGCGAACGGGUGAGUAAUACAUCGGAACGUGCCCAGUAGUGGGGGAUAGCUCGGCGAAAGCCGGAUUAAUACCGCAUACGACCUGAGGGUGAAAGCGGGGGAUCUUCGGACCUCGCGCUAUUGGAGCGGCCGAUGGCAGAUUAGCUAGUUGGUGGGGUAAAGGCCUACCAAGGCGACGAUCUGUAGCUGGUCUGAGAGGACGACCAGCCACACUGGGACUGAGACACGGCCCAGACUCCUACGGGAGGCAGCAGUGGGGAAUUUUGGACAAUGGGCGAAAGCCUGAUCCAGCAAUGCCGCGUGUGUGAUGAAGGCCUUCGGGUUGUAAAGCACUUUUGGCGGGAACGAAAAGGACUGUGCCAAUACCACGGUUCGAUGACGGUACCCGCAGAAUAAGCACCGGCUAACUACGUG